CAAUCUUGAUCUCCUUGGCUGUUUGCGUUUCUCAAUUUUCAUCCGUUUUCAUUCUAGGAGAAAUGUUUCUCUCUCUUUAACGUUUGAGUUUCUCCCUGUGCUCCGUUUCAGGCUCUUUUCCUUCCCCUUCCCAUUCGAGGAUAUUCCAAAACGCUCUAAGUCUACAACGUCAAAGAGAGAAAUCGAGAGAGAGAGAGGGGAUGAGAUUGGAGGCGACGUGGAAGACUCGGAGGAGGUUCGUAGGUUGUGGUGUUGCUGCGGCGCAUUACCCUGCCUUGCGUUCAGUUCGGUUGCACGCACCAUGUUUGUCGUCGCCCAUUAAGGAAUAAAUGGUUCAUAAAUUGAAGAGAAGCGAAAGCCGCAAAAUAGGGAUACUCUGCUCAUCCUCUGGUGCUCACAAAGUGCAAAUCGGUACCGAUGUGAAGUGUUAACAUCACAUAAAAUUGAUCCUGAGUGUGUGUGCAGCAAUAGUUUUAGUCUGCAAGAACAGAGAAAGGGUUUCAGAUCGACGAGAGGGUUUAACAUGGACCUGCAUCGCCAUUGACACUUUGUAUACCCUGAUGUUGUGAUUUUGUUCAUUCGGCGAAUAACUACUAUGGAAUUGCUCAAACAGUAUAACCAGUUCAGACAAGAGAAAAAAAAAAGGAGAGCAAGAAGAACAAGUAAGGUUUGCAGGUUCAAGAUAUCGGUGAGGGGAAGGAGUUAUGGCGCGCACUUGGUAGAAAAGCUUUCGCGAAAGGAGGAGGUUUCAGUGUUGUUACCACUUGCUAUUUAACCUCUUCCAGCAUUGAUUGCCAUUUUGAACUAUACUUAUCUUGAAGCAUAGAGGUGAGAAAAUAUAUAUGGGGCCUUUAGGAUGGCAGUGUUCUCAUCUGAUCAAUUACUUGGAGGUGAUGGAAUUUCUCAAGUCCCUUGAGGUAUGACAGUCACUUUAGAAGGGGUGGAAAAUCAGAAGACCAGAUUCCAAUGGCUUGCCAGGGUGCUGUAGCAAUUUUGAUUAUGUUUGAUCUAACAAGUUGAUGCACAUUAAACAGGUUGAGCUAUAACUAUUUGAUGACUAUCAGAACAUAUUCUAUUGAAUAAGAAUUUGGAAGAAAUAGCUACAGGGAUACCAGAGAAUUUAUAAAAGCAUUUCAUGAUUAGCUUUGUCUUGAGUAAGUGAUAGCUUACGUUUCUUUCUGGACCAAAUGAUGAUUAUUAAGGGAACAUGAAUUACUUCAUUUUUGUCUAUGUGGUUGUUGAGAUAAUGUUCCACACUAUUUAGCACCAAUUACUUUGCGUAGGCUGUUAGAAAUGUUGAUAGAGAAUGAGACCUGAACUACUUCUCACACCAGGUUGAAAGUAGAAGAAAGAUUUUGUUGUUUUCUUAGCCAAAACCUGUUCAGUAAUUUAUUCACCAAAAGAACUUUGCUAUGUAAUACUCUGCAUCAUCUUGCAGUACAGCCAUUGAAACCAUUUUUUUAAACCAAAACUUAUUGCAUAGUUUUUCAAUAUACAGCCAGAGAGUACAAUUGGUUGUUCACUUCAGAAGUUCUUUUUCCUCUUUAAAAUCUUAUUUAAUAUGUGAACCCAUCUUCCAUGUUUCUGAGGCUUCUUUGGAACAUAAUAUAGUUGGAGACAAUUUAUACUUUAGAAACAUAUUUUAUUCAUGUUAAGUUCAGUGGAUCCAGACUCAAACUUAAUCCACAAAGUGAUUCUUCUUUAGGAGUUCUUAUUCCCAUUUUAACUCUUACCAAAACCAUAACCUAUACUCAUUUGGAAAUCUUAAUCUUAAUAUUCUACAAUUGAGAGAUAUUUACAGCCACUACUGCACCCUGAAUGAUGUCC
Long non-coding RNA from Lotus japonicus, 1827 nucleotides. RefSeq lists it as uncharacterized. The transcript is spliced from 9 exons. NCBI's taxonomy places the organism in Eukaryota, Viridiplantae, Streptophyta, Magnoliopsida, Fabales, Fabaceae. The record is from RefSeq and is a predicted model, not a curated record.